Molecule: unclassified non-coding RNA, 222 nt
Filed under: Hevea brasiliensis (rubber tree)
Lineage: Eukaryota; Viridiplantae; Streptophyta; Magnoliopsida; Malpighiales; Euphorbiaceae
Source: RNAcentral
GUUAUAAGAAGCCAAAAGAUAAAUCUGUUUUUUGGACGAGACCUCUAAAGAUGCCACUUUCUAAUGAAUGUCAAUGCUGCCUUUGGUGGUAAAAGUUAACUAUACAAGCUCAAAAGGCAAUUGAGGAAUUUGCAAUUCUACCUGUUCCCUUAUGUGCAUGCUAGCAGACAGCUUCGUUGAGAACAUAAAUAUUAGUGUGGUCAAGGAACCGUGUUUGCAUGG